This is a long non-coding RNA of Paramormyrops kingsleyae, 714 nucleotides long. RefSeq lists it as uncharacterized. Lineage: Eukaryota; Metazoa; Chordata; Actinopteri; Osteoglossiformes; Mormyridae. The record is from RefSeq and is a predicted model, not a curated record.
AAAUGAUGCUGCGUUUAGUAUUUCGGUUUAAACGUCCGAAGCGACGCGGCUCUCCAGCUCAUUGCUGCAGUUUUCCUGCCAGAGAGAGGAAGCGAAAUCUAUCGCUGUUCCAACAUAGAAUGACUAGACCGACCUACUUUGCAGCUUCAGUUCCAUGAGGAGGGGGUUUCAUUUCUGGGACACUGGACAUUUGGCUUUUUGGGUCACACACAUACACAGGCGAUAGCCAUGACUUCACGGCGCCUUUCUCCGCAGCAGCGAUUCCUCCGCACAGUAACAUUCCCCCCGCAAGGCAACGGUGUCGAAAGGUCAAGAAGCUAACGCAGGAGAUAAUAUCUGGACAGCUUCCAGAUGUCUGCGGUGCAGAUAGAUGACUGCCAUUACAGAUCCGAAUGGGUGAUGCUCGCUGAAGAUCAGGCAAUAAUGUGCACAGGUUUUGGAGAAAAAUGUCUUUGUCUGAGGAAAGUGGCAGGUUUCCUCCUUCAAAGGGGACAAAGUGUUUCUCCAUAGUUUGGUAGGAUGUCACCUCCGGCAAAAGCUGUCCAUGCUCCAUGGGGGAACUACCUGCUGCAUCGAUACUUGAUAAGCAUGAGAGUUUUUAAAAUACAUACUGGAUGCAGCGCUCAAAACACAGGAAACCAUUCAAACCCUUUAUCACAGUUUAUUUUCUCCUCCACUUUACUGGGCUAUUUGAAUAAAUCAUGCAAUUCGCAA